RNAcentral lists this long non-coding RNA (526 nucleotides) under Vulpes vulpes (red fox). RNAcentral describes it as "lncRNA (ENSVVUG00000029368.1)". The record is from RNAcentral. Lineage: Eukaryota; Metazoa; Chordata; Mammalia; Carnivora; Canidae.
CUGCAGUUGUCCUUCUGGGUGAUUGGAGUUUGUGAAGAUAAAUGGUAAACUUACACAUUGAUCUUUUUUUAUACUUAGCCAGCACCCACGCUCUUCAUUUUAUUCUAUACUGAAGCAAGUUGUCACUAAAAUAUUGAGGCAAAAUGAUGAAAUUGAUCAACAUGGAGCUGAAAGAAAUCUACCAAAUACUAAAUAUUUAUGAUUGUAACAUCAAUUAAAGAAGGAAAUGACUAAGUGACCAGGAAAGUUCAGCAUCUCUCAGGUGCAAUUGAAAAACUCAACAAAAGCACACGUUGUUUACAAAUUUCACAUAAAACUUGGUGGCCUAGUUGCUUGUUUAGAGGUAAAGUUGUUCUCUCUUCUUUCCUUUCUCUUUAUGCCCCUGUCUUCUCCCUUCUUCCUUCCCUCCUCUUUUCGUUAAUUGAAAAUCUCCACUGCUAUUGGGAGAUAAGAAUGCCAGUCACAAUGUUAUAAUAUAGAGGUAUCUCAGAGAGCUAUGAUUUUAUAUUGUCAUGUGGAAGCAUAG